GACGAACGCUGGCGGCGUGCCUAACACAUGCAAGUCGAGCGGAGUUAGUUUGUAGCUUGCUACAAACUAACUUAGCGGCGGACGGGUGAGUAACGCGUGGAUAACCUGCCUUUUACAGGGGGAUAACACAGGGAAACUUGUGCUAAUACCGCAUAACAUAUAGAAGUGGCAUCAAUUUUAUAUCAAAGGAGCAAUUCGGUAGAAGAUGGAUCCGCGUCCGAUUAGCUAGUUGGCGGGGUAAGGGCCCACCAAGGCGACGAUCGGUAGCCGAACUGAGAGGUUGAUCGGCCACAUUGGGACUGAGACACGGCCCAGACUCCUACGGGAGGCAGCAGUGGGGAAUAUUGCGCAAUGGGGGAAACCCUGACGCAGCAACGCCGCGUGAAGGAUGAAGGCUUUCGGGUUGUAAACUUCUUUAGUCGGGGACGAAAAAAUGACGGUACCCGAAGAAUAAGCCACGGCUAACUACGUGCCAGCCGCCGCAGUAA
Molecule: ribosomal RNA, 488 nt
Filed under: uncultured bacterium
Lineage: Bacteria
Description: partial 16S ribosomal RNA
Rfam family: Bacterial small subunit ribosomal RNA
Source: RNAcentral